This 748-nucleotide ribosomal RNA is filed under the name uncultured Sappinia. RNAcentral describes it as "partial 18S ribosomal RNA". It matches the Rfam family "Eukaryotic small subunit ribosomal RNA", at positions 4 to 588 of the family's 1831-position model. The record is from RNAcentral. Lineage: Eukaryota; Discosea; Longamoebia; Thecamoebida.
CUGGUUGAUCCUGCCAGUAGUCAUAUGCUUGUCUCAAAGAUUAAGCCAUGCAUGUUUAAGUAUAAACCGCUUGUGCCGCAAGGUGCAAAACGGGUGAAACUGCGAAUGGCUCAUUAAAUCAGCAAUCGUUUAUUUGAUUGUGCGCUAUUGUGGUGUUUGGUUUGGGGGUUCGCCUCUGGAUCAAAGUCCGCAAAUGGCUACAUGUAUAACCGUGGUAAUUCAAGACCUAAUACAUGAAGGAAAAACAAGGCUGACUUUUCGCAAGAGAGGAAGGCCCGCAUUUAUUAGAUACAUACGAAAACCGGAACUCAUGGGGCAACCUGUGGGCCAAAGAGUUGGCGAUUCAUAAUGACUGCGCGAAUCGCAUGGCCGUCACUCUCGGGUGGGAAUGGCUGGCGAUGGAUCAUUCAUAUUUCUGCCCGCUCAAUUUUCUAUGGUUGGAUGGAGGCCAACCAUGGUGAUGACGGGUAACGGAGAAUUGAUUGUGCGAUUCUUGACAGAAAGGGAACCCGACAACCCCCCCCCCCCAUCAAGGGAAGGCGCAGCGCUUAGUUGCCCUAUCCGGCCUUGGGAGGUUUCGCCAUUACAUACCAUGGCGGACAUUUGGAUAAACUGCAUGGGAAUGGGAUUAAUCUAAGUACAAGCUUUUGCAAAGGACAAGUGCAGGCAAGUUCUCGAAGGCUCCCGGGUACAAGCUAAUUUGGAAGGGGGGUAAUAUAUAUUCCUGGGAAAGUAACCCCCCGCGAAA